This 981-nucleotide small RNA is filed under the name Pongo abelii (Sumatran orangutan). Its description in RNAcentral is "retained intron". Lineage: Eukaryota; Metazoa; Chordata; Mammalia; Primates; Hominidae. The record is from RNAcentral.
CUUUUUUAAAGUUUUUUGUGUGUUGAUGGUAAUUUUUUUUAUCUAUUUUAAAAUAGGUAUUACCAAAUAGUAUCUCUUGUUUCACUUCUUGGUGAGUACUGGCUUAUCACAUUAAUUUAGGAACUUUUUUUAAAAAACCUACAGAGAUUAUGGAGAAGUCUGGCGAGGAAGGAAUGCCUGAUCUUGCCCAUGUCAUGCGCAUCUUGUCUGCAGAAAAUAUCCCAAAUUUGCCUCCUGGGGGAGGUCUUGCUGGCAAGCGCAAUGUUGUUGAAGCUGUUUAUAGUAGACUGAAUCCACAUAGAGAAAGUGAUGGGGUAAGUUUUAUUUUAUUUCAUAAGCAUUUGAAGUAAUUUCACAAUAUAAAUACUAAAUAUGAAUAUAUUCACAUUAACGAAGUCUAUAAUAAAUUAUAGUCUAGUAAAUUACUACUGCUUUUCAUUUUAAAGUGUCAGUUAAAGUUUAAGAAAAUGUAUUGAAAUGAAGGUAGAGAUAAAAUUUUGUUUUGUAGAUAGCUUUGUUGUCACUUUCUGGGCAUCAAAUGACCUUUUUUGUUUGGGCUGUCUUUUAUUUCUUCUCUAUAUGUCUGCUUUUCCUUCUCCUUUAAACCUUAAUUUUGAGGCAAGAAUGCUCUUUUAAAUAUCUCAAUUUCUCCUCCAGCAGGCUGCUGCCAUCACCAGAAGUUAGUGAUAGUGAGUGAGUUGUUAUUUUAAUGACUAGACCUUUCAGUACCCCUGUAUGCCCACUUGGAAUACCCGGGGAUAGUUUUUUUCUAAUAUUAUUGUUGUAUUAUGGGUAUAUGAGCGUUGAGCUGAGAUAACCAUUUCUGUUGUACCUUGCUGUACUUCAUCAGAGCAAGACUCUAUGCCCUUACCUUUUAUUUUGCUUUCCUUCGAAAUGUCAGUGAGCUGCCAGCUGCUCCUCUAUAUUGUUUUGUUUUGUUUUGUUUUAGUACUAUUACCAUGAGACAGAAGUGUCUUUUUU